Molecule: ribosomal RNA, 2908 nt
Filed under: Bacillus anthracis str. Ames
Lineage: Bacteria; Bacillati; Bacillota; Bacilli; Caryophanales; Bacillaceae
Also listed under: 6 other names
Description: bacterial LSU rRNA
Rfam family: Bacterial large subunit ribosomal RNA
Source: RNAcentral
GGGCGCACGGUGGAUGCCUUGACACUAGGAGUCGAUGAAGGACGGGACUAACGCCGAUAUGCUUCGGGGAGCUGUAAGUAAGCUUUGAUCCGAAGAUUUCCGAAUGGGGAAACCCACCAUACGUAAUGGUAUGGUAUCCUUAUCUGAAUACAUAGGGUAAGGAAGACAGACCCAGGGAACUGAAACAUCUAAGUACCUGGAGGAAGAGAAAGCAAAUGCGAUUUCCUGAGUAGCGGCGAGCGAAACGGAACAUAGCCCAAACCAAGAGGCUUGCCUCUUGGGGUUGUAGGACAUUCUAUACGGAGUUACAAAGGAACGAGGUAGACGAAGCGACCUGGAAAGGUCCGUCGUAGAGGGUAACAACCCCGUAGUCGAAACUUCGUUCUCUCUUGAAUGUAUCCUGAGUACGGCGGAACACGUGAAAUUCCGUCGGAAUCUGGGAGGACCAUCUCCCAAGGCUAAAUACUCCCUAGUGAUCGAUAGUGAACCAGUACCGUGAGGGAAAGGUGAAAAGCACCCCGGAAGGGGAGUGAAAGAGAUCCUGAAACCGUGUGCCUACAAAUAGUCAGAGCCCGUUAAUGGGUGAUGGCGUGCCUUUUGUAGAAUGAACCGGCGAGUUACGAUCCCGUGCGAGGUUAAGCUGAAGAGGCGGAGCCGCAGCGAAAGCGAGUCUGAAUAGGGCGUUUAGUACGUGGUCGUAGACCCGAAACCAGGUGAUCUACCCAUGUCCAGGGUGAAGUUCAGGUAACACUGAAUGGAGGCCCGAACCCACGCACGUUGAAAAGUGCGGGGAUGAGGUGUGGGUAGCGGAGAAAUUCCAAUCGAACCUGGAGAUAGCUGGUUCUCCCCGAAAUAGCUUUAGGGCUAGCCUUAAGUGUAAGAGUCUUGGAGGUAGAGCACUGAUUGGACUAGGGGUCCUCAUCGGAUUACCGAAUUCAGUCAAACUCCGAAUGCCAAUGACUUAUCCUUAGGAGUCAGACUGCGAGUGAUAAGAUCCGUAGUCAAAAGGGAAACAGCCCAGACCGCCAGCUAAGGUCCCAAAGUGUGUAUUAAGUGGAAAAGGAUGUGGAGUUGCUUAGACAACUAGGAUGUUGGCUUAGAAGCAGCCACCAUUUAAAGAGUGCGUAAUAGCUCACUAGUCGAGUGACUCUGCGCCGAAAAUGUACCGGGGCUAAAUACACCACCGAAGCUGCGGAUUGAUACCAAUGGUAUCAGUGGUAGGGGAGCGUUCUAAGGACAGUGAAGUCAGACCGGAAGGACUGGUGGAGUGCUUAGAAGUGAGAAUGCCGGUAUGAGUAGCGAAAGACGGGUGAGAAUCCCGUCCACCGAAUGCCUAAGGUUUCCUGAGGAAGGCUCGUCCGCUCAGGGUUAGUCAGGACCUAAGCCGAGGCCGACAGGCGUAGGCGAUGGACAACAGGUUGAUAUUCCUGUACCACCUCUUUAUCGUUUGAGCAAUGGAGGGACGCAGAAGGAUAGAAGAAGCGUGCGAUUGGUUGUGCACGUCCAAGCAGUUAGGCUGAUAAGUAGGCAAAUCCGCUUAUCGUGAAGGCUGAGCUGUGAUGGGGAAGCUCCUUAUGGAGCGAAGUCUUUGAUUCCCCGCUGCCAAGAAAAGCUUCUAGCGAGAUAAAAGGUGCCUGUACCGCAAACCGACACAGGUAGGCGAGGAGAGAAUCCUAAGGUGUGCGAGAGAACUCUGGUUAAGGAACUCGGCAAAAUGACCCCGUAACUUCGGGAGAAGGGGUGCUUUCUUAACGGAAAGCCGCAGUGAAUAGGCCCAAGCGACUGUUUAGCAAAAACACAGCUCUCUGCGAAGCCGUAAGGCGAAGUAUAGGGGGUGACACCUGCCCGGUGCUGGAAGGUUAAGGAGAGGGGUUAGCGUAAGCGAAGCUCUGAACUGAAGCCCCAGUAAACGGCGGCCGUAACUAUAACGGUCCUAAGGUAGCGAAAUUCCUUGUCGGGUAAGUUCCGACCCGCACGAAAGGUGUAACGAUUUGGGCACUGUCUCAACCAGAGACUCGGUGAAAUUAUAGUACCUGUGAAGAUGCAGGUUACCCGCGACAGGACGGAAAGACCCCGUGGAGCUUUACUGUAGCCUGAUAUUGAAUUUUGGUACAGUUUGUACAGGAUAGGCGGGAGCCUUUGAAACCGGAGCGCUAGCUUCGGUGGAGGCGCUGGUGGGAUACCGCCCUGACUGUAUUGAAAUUCUAACCUACGGGUCUUAUCGACCCGGGAGACAGUGUCAGGUGGGCAGUUUGACUGGGGCGGUCGCCUCCUAAAGUGUAACGGAGGCGCCCAAAGGUUCCCUCAGAAUGGUUGGAAAUCAUUCGUAGAGUGCAAAGGCAUAAGGGAGCUUGACUGCGAGACCUACAAGUCGAGCAGGGACGAAAGUCGGGCUUAGUGAUCCGGUGGUUCCGCAUGGAAGGGCCAUCGCUCAACGGAUAAAAGCUACCCCGGGGAUAACAGGCUUAUCUCCCCCAAGAGUCCACAUCGACGGGGAGGUUUGGCACCUCGAUGUCGGCUCAUCGCAUCCUGGGGCUGUAGUCGGUCCCAAGGGUUGGGCUGUUCGCCCAUUAAAGCGGUACGCGAGCUGGGUUCAGAACGUCGUGAGACAGUUCGGUCCCUAUCCGUCGUGGGCGUAGGAAAUUUGAGAGGAGCUGUCCUUAGUACGAGAGGACCGGGAUGGACGCACCGCUGGUGUACCAGUUGUUCUGCCAAGGGCAUAGCUGGGUAGCUAUGUGCGGAAGGGAUAAGUGCUGAAAGCAUCUAAGCAUGAAGCCCCCCUCAAGAUGAGAUUUCCCAUAGCGUAAGCUAGUAAGAUCCCUGAAAGAUGAUCAGGUUGAUAGGUUCGAGGUGGAAGCAUGGUGACAUGUGGAGCUGACGAAUACUAAUAGAUCGAGGACUUAACCAU